AGAACCGCCUUCAGGCGUUUGGACUCAGUGGAGGUUGUGAGUGCCCAGCAGUGUGGCCUGAAUCUCCGUGGGGUUUAGGGAGACGAAAGGACCCCAGAUCGACGUCCCCUCGUUCCCACUUUGGGGAUCGGCGCUCUGGCUGUUUCGUGAAGGAGAGAGAGGUUGAUUCCAUACCCUGGCUAUUGUGAAUAAUGCUGCAGUGAACAUGGGAGUACAUACAUCUGUUUGAGGAACUCAGAGUGGUUUUCCAGAUGGGAAUCACAUUGCUCUCUGUCCCUGAGAUCUUGCUGGAGACAGGGCUACUCAGUCCCUCUUUGCCAGGUAAUCUGUUCCAGAAGAAACAUGUGUCGUUCUGACUGAGCCCCUGCCUGUCUGUCACCUUAAGAGCCAGUCAAUUCAUAUGGUCCCCAUAUCAAAGUCUCCUGUGCCCAGAGAGAGGAUUUCAUUUCAACCAUCACCAUCACCACCAUCAUCAUCAUCAUCACCAAGAGGUGUUGUUGAAUUGAUAUUGGAAAAGCAGUUUCUAUUGAGCCCCCAAAUGAAGAGUGAGUGCAGAUGAAGAGGAGGCAGGACUCACAAGCCCUUGACCUUCAUUCCAGAUCUGUUAGCACCUACAGGACCCUGCACCAGGAUUUCAUCUGUACUAUCAGCUUCUUCAAAGAGAGAGAGGUUGUUGAAUUGAUAUUGGAAAAGCAGUUUCCCAUUGAGUCUCAAAUGAAGAGAGUGCAGAUGAAGAGGAGGUAGGAGUCACAAGCCCUUGACCCUCAUGCUAGACCCAUUACCAUCCACAGGACCUUGCAGUGGGAUUUCAUCUGCACCAUCAGCUUCUUCAGAGAGAGAG
RNAcentral lists this long non-coding RNA (841 nucleotides) under Pan troglodytes (chimpanzee). RNAcentral describes it as "lincRNA". Lineage: Eukaryota; Metazoa; Chordata; Mammalia; Primates; Hominidae. The record is from RNAcentral.